UGGGGAAUAUUGCACAAUGGGGGAAACCCUGAUGCAGCAACGCCGCGUGGAGGAUGACGCAUUUCGGUGUGUAAACUCCUUUUAUAAGGGAAGAUAAUGACGGUACCUUAUGAAUAAGCACCGGCUAACUCCGUGCCAGCAGCCGCGGUAAUACGGAGGGUGCAAGCGUUACUCGGAAUCACUGGGCGUAAAGGAUGUGUAGGCUGUAAUAUAAGUCAGAAGUGAAAUCCAACGGCUUAACCGUUGAACUGCUUUUGAAACUGUUUUACUAGAAUAUGGGAGAGGUAGAUGGAAUUGGUGGUGUAGGGGUAAAAUCCGUAGAUAUCACCAGGAAUACCGAUUGCGAAGGCGAUCUACUGGAACAUUAUUGACGCUGAGACAUGAAAGCGUGGGGAGCAAACAG
RNAcentral lists this ribosomal RNA (403 nucleotides) under uncultured bacterium. RNAcentral's name for it is "bacterial SSU rRNA". It matches the Rfam family "Bacterial small subunit ribosomal RNA", at positions 355 to 775 of the family's 1533-position model. The record is from RNAcentral.